UCCCCGGUGGUCUAGUGGUUAAGGAUCUGGCAUUGUCACUGCUGUGGCUUAGGUUCAACCCCUGGCCCAGGAA
This 73-nucleotide transfer RNA is filed under the name Sus scrofa (pig). It matches the Rfam family "tRNA". From Rfam's summary of the family: Transfer RNA (tRNA) molecules are approximately 80 nucleotides in length. Their secondary structure includes four short double-helical elements and three loops (D, anti-codon, and T loops). Further hydrogen bonds mediate the characteristic L-shaped molecular structure. tRNAs have two regions of fundamental functional importance: the anti-codon, which is responsible for specific mRNA codon recognition, and the 3' end, to which the tRNAs corresponding amino acid is attached (by aminoacyl-tRNA synthetases). tRNAs cope with the degeneracy of the genetic code in two manners: having more than one tRNA (with a specific anti-codon) for a particular amino acid; and 'wobble' base-pairing, i.e. permitting non-standard base-pairing at the 3rd anti-codon position. The record is from Rfam by way of RNAcentral. Lineage: Eukaryota; Metazoa; Chordata; Mammalia; Artiodactyla; Suidae.